AUGAAUAGGAUUUUGGUAAAAGAUUUUAUAAGGAUGAUGAUAUUGGAUCCCUUAAAGAUAACUACAACUAACUAUGCUAUUUUAAGGUUAGCUUUCCCCAGUAGUGCUUGUACGGCAAAUUCAUUUCCUCCAGGAAAGUGGAUAUAAUGGUAUAGGCAGAGUCUAGCUAGUCUAUCUUUUCCUCUUUCAGAUUUUGUCAUAUGUUUUGAGUACUUACAACUAUGAGGGUUAAGACAGGUGCUUUAAUUACUAUACAACUACUUUGGAGUAUUUUGGUGAGGUUUUAAGAGGGCUACACUGCUUUUGGGUGGUUUGAAAAAUAUUGAAGAGGGAUUCGAUUGUUUCUUCUGCAAGACAAUAGGGGUUGGAGAGUUGAGAGAAUACCCCCACUUGGCUUUUCGAUACCUAAGUUAGUAAAAAAUAAAUAGGUAAGGACAAUAAAAAUAGAUGAGAGGAGUUGUAAGAAUGUUUUACUUGAGACAAUAAAUGCUUAUAUAUUAUAUGAUAAAACCAAUAGUGAGAAAACACGUGGAGAUUUAUGCUAAAUGGGACUGUCUCGUUUAGCUGCAUCCCUGCUCGAGAUUUGAAUAUAUUUAAGUCGAGAUGAUGAUGGAUUUGACAUACUUGAAAUGAAAUGGUGGUGAUAAAUACUCUGUGAGUGUAGGUAUGUUGGACUAGUCAAUAGAUAAAUUAUGCAUGCCAUGAGUAUUACCCGGGGGUGGUAGUCUUUAGCAAGGACUCGUAGGACGGCUAGUUAGUGUAAAGGGUAUCUCACCAGUUCUAUCUGAGCUAUUGGUUGUAGGUGGAGACCCUAUGGUAGACUAAGCUACCGAGCAGAUUCCAGUUCACUUAAAAGGGUGAAUCGGAGUUAGAAUUGUGAACCCUACGGUUCCAUUUUGGUUCAAUUUAGGUGCAAUAAACGAUCUGGAAUUUUUUCACAUUUUAAAAAUUUUUUAAAUAAAAA
RNAcentral lists this unclassified non-coding RNA (964 nucleotides) under Hevea brasiliensis (rubber tree). The record is from RNAcentral. Lineage: Eukaryota; Viridiplantae; Streptophyta; Magnoliopsida; Malpighiales; Euphorbiaceae.